CACGUAGGAGCCAAGCGUUAUCCGAAUUCACUGGGCGUAAAGCGCGUGUAGGCGGCAUAUUAAGUUGGAUGUGAAAGCUCCUGGCUCAACUGGGAGAGGACGUUCAAUACUGGUAGGCUAGAGGGCGACAGAGGGAGGUGGAAUUCCCGGUGUAGUGGUGAAAUGCGUAGAUAUCGGGAGGAACACCAGUGGCGAAGGCGGCCUCCUGGGUCGCACCUGACGCUCAGACGCGAAAGCUAGGGGAGCGAACGGGAUUAGAAACCCUUGUAGUCC
Molecule: ribosomal RNA, 273 nt
Filed under: uncultured prokaryote
Description: partial 16S ribosomal RNA
Rfam family: Bacterial small subunit ribosomal RNA
Source: RNAcentral